RNAcentral lists this ribosomal RNA (467 nucleotides) under uncultured bacterium. Its description in RNAcentral is "partial 16S ribosomal RNA". It matches the Rfam family "Bacterial small subunit ribosomal RNA", at positions 29 to 507 of the family's 1533-position model. The record is from RNAcentral.
ACGAACGCUGGCGGCGUGCUUCACACAUGCAAGUCGAACGGAAAGGCCCUGCUUUUGUGGGGUGCUCGAGUGGCGAACGGGUGAGUAACACGUGAGUAACCUGCCCUUGACUUUGGGAUAACUUCAGGAAACUGGGACUAAUACCGGAUAGGAGCUCCUGCUGCAUGGUGGGGGUUGGAAAGUUUCGGCGGUUGGGGAUGGACUCGCGGCUUAUCAGCUUGUUGGUGGGGUAGUGGCUUACCAAGGCUUUGACGGGUAGCCGGCCUGAGAGGGUGACCGGCCACAUUGGGACUGAGAUACGGCCCAGACUCCUACGGGAGGCAGCAGUGGGGAAUAUUGCACAAUGGGCGGAAGCCUGAUGCAGCAACGCCGCGUGCGGGAUGACGGCCUUCGGGUUGUAAACCGCUUUCGCCUGUGACGAAGCGUGAGUGACGGUAAUGGGUAAAGAAGCACCGGCUAACUACGUG